UGUUCUGUGGCUUAGUUGGUUAAAGCACCGGUAUAGCGAAUACGGGAUCGUGGGUUCGAAUCCCACCAGAACGC
Aedes albopictus (Asian tiger mosquito) is the source of this 74-nucleotide non-coding RNA. Lineage: Eukaryota; Metazoa; Arthropoda; Insecta; Diptera; Culicidae. The record is from Rfam.